CCUACGGGUGGCAGCAGUCGAGAAUCAUUCACAAUGGGGGAAACCCUGAUGGUGCGACGCCGCGUGGGGGAAUGAAGGUCUUCGGAUUGUAAACCCCUGUCAUGUGGGAGCAAAUUAAAAAGAUAGUACCACAAGAGGAAGAGACGGCUAACUCUGUGCCAGCAGCCGCGGUAAUACAGAGGUCUCAAGCGUUGUUCGGAAUCACUGGGCGUAAAGCGUGCGUAGGCUGUUGCGUAAGUCGUGUGUGAAAGGCGCGGGCUCAACCCGCGGACGGCACAUGAUACUGGGAGACUAGAGUACUGGAGGGGGAAGCGGAAUUCGCGGUGUAGCAGUGAAAUGCGUAGAUAUCGAGAGGAACACUCGUGGCGAAGGCAGGUUCCUGGACAGUAACUGACGCUGAGGCACGAAGGCCAGGGGAGCGAAAGGGAUUAGAUACCCGGGUAGUC
RNAcentral lists this ribosomal RNA (446 nucleotides) under uncultured bacterium. Its description in RNAcentral is "partial 16S ribosomal RNA". It matches the Rfam family "Bacterial small subunit ribosomal RNA", at positions 338 to 795 of the family's 1533-position model. The record is from RNAcentral.